GAUGAAGAACGGCAGCGAAAUGCGAUACGUAAUGUGAAUUGCAGAAUUCAGUGAAUCAUCGAGUCUUUGAACGCACAUUGCGCCCCCUGGUAUUCCGGGGGGCAUGCCUGUCCGAGCGUCAUUGCUGCCCUCAAGCACGGCUUGUGUGUUGGGCCUCCGUCCUCCUCCCGGGGGACGGGCCCGAAAGGCAGCGGCGGCACCGCGUCCGGUCCUCGAGCGUAUGGGGCUUCGUCACCCGCUCUUGUAGGCCCGGCCGGCGCUUGCCGACACAUCAAUCUUUUUUCCAGGUUGACCUCGGAUCAGGUAGGGAUACCCGCUGAACUUAAGCAUAUCAAUAAGCGGAGG
Molecule: unclassified non-coding RNA, 345 nt
Filed under: soil metagenome
Description: partial contains 5.8S ribosomal RNA, internal transcribed spacer 2, and large subunit ribosomal RNA
Rfam family: 5.8S ribosomal RNA (bases 1-121)
Source: RNAcentral